RNAcentral lists this ribosomal RNA (401 nucleotides) under uncultured bacterium. RNAcentral's name for it is "bacterial SSU rRNA". It matches the Rfam family "Bacterial small subunit ribosomal RNA", at positions 917 to 1322 of the family's 1533-position model. The record is from RNAcentral.
GGGCCCGCACAAGCGGUGGAGCAUGUGGUUUAAUUCGAUGCAACGCGAAGAACCUUACCAGGGCUUGACAUACUACAAAUUCUUUUGAGAAAAAGAAGUGCCUUCGGGAAUGUAGAUACAGGUGGUGCAUGGCUGUCGUCAGCUCGUGUCGUGAGAUGUUGGGUUAAGUCCCGCAACGAGCGCAACCCUUAUUUUUAGUUACCAAUUCGUUGGGUUUUUUAGAAAGACUGCCGGUGACAAACCGGAGGAAGGUGAGGAUGACGUCAAGUCAGCAUGCCCCUUAUGUCCUGGGCUACACACGUGCUACAAUGGUUAAGACAAAGGGCUGCAAGUUCGCGAGGACAAGCAAAUCCCAUAAACCGUGGCUCAGUUCAGAUCGUAGGCUGCAACUCGCCUACGUG